This 489-nucleotide ribosomal RNA is filed under the name uncultured bacterium. RNAcentral's name for it is "bacterial SSU rRNA". It matches the Rfam family "Bacterial small subunit ribosomal RNA", at positions 28 to 507 of the family's 1533-position model. The record is from RNAcentral.
GAUGAACGCUAGCUACAGGCUUAACACAUGCAAGUCGAGGGGCAGCAUGGUCGUUGCUUGCAAUGACCGAUGGCGACCGGCGCACGGGUGAGUAACGCGUAUCCAACCUUCCCCCUACCCGGGUAUAGCCCGCCGAAAGGCGGAUUAAUCCCCGAUACGUCCCCUGACGGCAUCAGGCGGGGACGAAAGGUAUUCCGGUAAGGGAUGGGGAUGCGUCCGAUUAGCUUGUUGGCGGGGUAACGGCCCACCAAGGCAACGAUCGGUAGGGGUUCUGAGAGGAAGGUCCCCCACAUUGGAACUGAGACACGGUCCAAACUCCUACGGGAGGCAGCAGUGAGGAAUAUUGGUCAAUGGACGCAAGUCUGAACCAGCCAUGCCGCGUGCAGGAUGACGGCUCUAUGAGUUGUAAACUGCUUUUGUAUAAGGGUAAAAUUAGGUACGUGUACCUAACUGAAAGUACUAUACGAAUAAGGGUCGGCUAACUCCGUG